Molecule: ribosomal RNA, 809 nt
Filed under: Malassezia furfur
Lineage: Eukaryota; Fungi; Basidiomycota; Malasseziomycetes; Malasseziales; Malasseziaceae
Description: eukaryotic LSU rRNA
Rfam family: 5.8S ribosomal RNA (bases 263-416)
Source: RNAcentral
AAGUAAAAAUCGUAACAAGGUUUCUGUAGGUGAACCUGCAGAAGGAUCAUUAGUGAAAGCAAGGGCCAGCCAUACGGACGGCGCUACUCGCGUACAACGUCUCUGGCGCCCAACUUUACACAAUAUCCACAAACCCGUGUGCACCGUUUGGAUGAGUUGGACCUCGCAAGAGGCCUGGCUCUCCAAUCCAUUUCUACCAAACUCGUAUGGUUGUAUGAACGUGGAAAUCGUUGGACCGUAACUGGCCAACAACCAAUAAUACAACUUUCGACAACGGAUCUCUUGGUUCUCCCAUCGAUGAAGAACGCAGCGAAACGCGAUAGGUAAUGUGAAUUGCAGAAUUCCGUGAAUCAUCGAAUCUUUGAACGCACCUUGCGCUCCAUGGUAUUCCGUGGAGCAUGCCUGUUUGAGUGCCGUGAAUUCUCUCUCCCCAAGCGGUUGCGAUUGCACUGCUUUGGCGGACGAGGUUGGAUGGGUGCUUCUGCCUGUUUCGCAAGAAACAGGCUCGCCCGAAAUGCAUUAGCGCCUUUGGGACACACUCUGCAAACCGCUCUGAAAGGGAGGGCGGCAGAGGGGAUGGAGGAACUCCGCCCGUCAGCUAUACCAAACUUUGCCCCAGGCAAGCGCAUGGCAUGAUACGUCAUUUGCUGUGUGUGCGUCCUGAGGCAAGGGGCCGAUGUGGUGCCUUUGUCACUCUGUGGGUGUGUUGGUGCGCUACCAAUUCUGCGUUGAGGCUGGUCUGUGCGCAAGCAUGGAGAGGUUCUCUGUGAACGCAUUCCCUUUUUUCAUUUCUGGUCUCAAAUCAGUAG